UACAGAGGUGGCAAGCGUUGUUCGGAAUUACUGGGCGUAAAGCGCACGUAGGCGGCUCUUUAAGUCGGGGGUGAAAUCCUGGAGCUCAACUCCAGAACUGCCUUCGAUACUGUAGAGCUUGAGUUCGGGAGAGGUGAGUGGAACUGCGAGUGUAGAGGUGAAAUUCGUAGAUAUUCGCAAGAACACCAGUGGCGAAGGCGGCUCACUGGACACAUAUUGACGCUGAGGUGCGAAAGCGUGGGGAGCAAACAGG
RNAcentral lists this ribosomal RNA (253 nucleotides) under uncultured bacterium. Its description in RNAcentral is "partial 16S ribosomal RNA". It matches the Rfam family "Bacterial small subunit ribosomal RNA", at positions 524 to 776 of the family's 1533-position model. The record is from RNAcentral.